CUGGGAUCUGGUUAGCAGCUAAUGAUCAGUGGGCUCUGGCUAUAAUGAUCGGAUUAGCUGCGCUUUAAUCACUGUCUAUUGUUUCAGCAGGGAGAGAAUUUCACAGCUCAUUGACUGCUCUGACUCCUAAUCUACACCGAGGAAACAAUGUUGCAGCUCAUCAAAUGCAAUCAGCUGCUAAUUGAAAGGAAAUGGAAUUUUACAAUUACAGGCCACCUUUCAGUGCUCAGGAUUUCUAAGCACUUCUCCCCACCUUCCUUUGCCAGCUCAGCACUGGCAGGAGCACUUGACAACCUGCUAGAGACUUCCCUAAAAGCUGCAUUUAGGACCUGGCCCGUUCUCCCCAGCUCCAGAGCAGCAGCAAAGGGAAGCAGCGUCCUCGCCAAUACCUGGGCUGUCCUUCAAGGCUCAGUGCAAGGAAAAACACCUGGGUUGGACAUCAGUCAAAUUCCAGGUGCUAACCCUUAAUUCUCAACUGCGGGAGAAGUGGCCCCAGGCAGAGCUUGAAGCUUCCUGCUCCCUCCAACCAAAGGCACUGCUAGACCACAGCCUUCCACGGGAAGCACAUUCAAUCCCUCCCCUGCAAGGAAUUAUAACUUUCAGCACUUCUCACCUUGCAUGAAGGUAAUCGUGAUUGCCCAGGUGUGGCGUGAGGAUUGAGAGAGAGAAUGCUUAUAGAGCACCGAGCGUAGUGCUUAGCAUGUGGGAACACUCCAGAGUGUCCACUGCUUCUAACAUUCUAGAAUGGAAAAAAAUAUGGAAGCUUUGGUGUCAGAAUAAACCUA
This 785-nucleotide long non-coding RNA is filed under the name Homo sapiens (human). Its description in RNAcentral is "HSALNT0361580". The record is from RNAcentral. Lineage: Eukaryota; Metazoa; Chordata; Mammalia; Primates; Hominidae.